RNAcentral lists this long non-coding RNA (4841 nucleotides) under Sus scrofa (pig). Its description in RNAcentral is "lncRNA (ENSSSCG00000060799.1)". Lineage: Eukaryota; Metazoa; Chordata; Mammalia; Artiodactyla; Suidae. The record is from RNAcentral.
CCCCAUGGCAUAGGGAGUUUCUGGGCCAGAGAUCAGAUCCAAGCCACAUUUGCUACCUGUGCCUCAGCUGCAGCACUGCCAAAUCCUUUAGCCCAUUAUGCUGGGCUGGGGAUCGAACCUGCAUCCCAGAACUCCAGGGACACCUGGAGUUGAUCCUGUCAUGUCACAGGGAACUGCCAUGAUAACAAAAUUGAAUUUUCCAGUACAUGAACACAGGAUGCCUUUCCAUUUAUUUACGUCGUCUUUAAUUUCUUUCAACAGUGCUUUGUAGAUUUCCUUUUACCAGUCCUGCAAUUCCUUAGUAAAUUUAUUACUAAGUAUUUUAUUUCAUUUGAUCCUUUUAUAAAUGGAAUUAUAUUCUUAAUUUCAUUUUUGGACUUUUCAUCGCAAGUAUAUAGAAAUACAGCAGGUAUUUAUAUAUUGAUCUUGAAUCCUGCAACUAUGCUAAACUCAUUUUUCAGCUGUAAUCGUUUUUGUGGAUUAUUUAGAGCUUCUAUAUAAAAGAUCAUGUCAUCUGUGAACACAUAAAGCUUGACUUCUUCCUUUCAAAUCUGGAUGCAUUUUAUUUCUUAUUCUUUCCUAAUUACCUUGAAUAGAAGUCCUAGCACUGUUCAAUAGAAAUGGCAAGAGAAGACAUCUUUUCCUUUUUCCUGAUUUUAGGGGAACUUUCACAAGUGUAGUGUUAGUUGUAGAUUUUACAAAUACCUCUUGUCAGGUGGAGGAAGUUCCCGUGCAUUCCUGGUUUGUGUGGUAUUUUUACCAUGAAAGAGCAGUGGGUUUUGUUAAAUGCUUUUCUGCGUGCAUUGAGAUAAUCAAGUAGGGAUUUUUCCUUCUUUCUAUUAAUGCAAUAUAUAAUAUUGAUUGAUUAUCAUAGGUAGAACUUCCCUUGCACUUCUGGAAUAAAUCUCAUUUGACCAAGGUAUAUAACCCUUUUAAUAUGUUGCUGGAUUCAGUUUACUAGUUGAGUGUUUUAACAUCUGUGGACAUAAAGAAUAUUUUUCUGUAGUGUUCUUUUCUUGUGAUGUCUUUGUCUAGCUUUGGUAUCAAGAAAUACUGGCCUUUUAGAGUAAAUUAGGAGGUGUUCUCUUCUCUUCUGUUUUUCAGAAGGGUUUGAGAACAAUUGGUGUUAAAUCUUAAAUGUCUGGUUGAAUCUACCGGUAAAGCCAUAUGGUACUGGAUUUUUUUUUUUUAUCAUUAUAAACCUUAUAAAUUUCAAAUGAAACCUCUUCAUUUGUUUAGGGUCGUGAGCCACACAGGAAGUCUACUGGUUUAGGGUUUAUUCAGAUUUUCUGUUUCUUCGUAAGACAUAAGUAGAUUGUGUUUAUAGGAAUUUGUCCUUCCAUUUGGGUUGUAUAAUCUGUUAGCAUAUAAUAGCUCAUAAUAUUCUCAUUUUUAUUUGUUUUAUUUUGUCUUUUUAGGGCCUCACCUGCAGCACAUGCAAGUUCCCAGGCCAGAGGUCGAAUCAGAGCUGUAGCUGCCAGCCACAGCCACAGCCACAGCAACACCGGAUCCGAGCCACAUCUGCGACCUCCACCACAGCUCACAGCAAUGCCGGAUCCUUAACCCACUGAGAGAAGCCAGGGAUCAAACCUGCGUCCUCAUGGAUACUAGUGGGGUUCAUUACCACUGAGCCAUGAUGGGAACUCCAAUAGUCUCUUUUAAUUCUUCUUUGUUUCUGUAAAGUCAGGCGUAAUGUCCUACUUCAAUUCCUGAUAUUAGAAAUAAAAGUUUUCUCUCCUUUUUUCUUCAGCUAGCUAAUAUAUUCAUUUUUCAAUGUGUUCAAAGAACUUUUGGUUUUGUUGAUUUUCUCUUUUAUAGUCUAUUCCCCAUUUCAUUUAUCUCCACCCUAAAUUUUUAUCAUUCCUCCUGCUUCCUUGGGCUUUAGUUGGGUCUUUUUUUUCUACUUAUGAAGGUGGCAAGAUACGUUAUUUUGACAUCUUGAUUCCUUUUUUAAUGUAGGCGUUUAUAGCAAUAAAUUUCAUUCUGAGCCUUGUUUAUUACGUAUCCCACAAGUUUUGGUGUGUUGUGUUUCUUUUUUUUCUUUUUUUUCUUUUUUACAUAUACUGCAUAUACACCUGCAGCGUAUGUAAGUUCCCAGGCUAGGGGUUGAAUCAGAGCUAUAGCUGCCAGCCUACACCACAGACACAGUUAACGCAGGACCUGAGCUGAAUCUUUGCCCUACACCACAGCUCACCGCAAUGCAGGAUCCUUAACCCACUGAGCAAAGCCGGGGAGCAAACCCAUAUCCUCAUGGAUCCCAGUCGGGUUCGUUAACCACUGAGCCACCCACGAAGGGAACCUUGUGUUUCAUUUUUAAUCUCAAAGUAUCUUCUAAUCUGUUAUACCCUUUGUCUCAUGUGGCCAGGGCUAGUAUAUUUGUAUGUUAAAUGCUUCUGAUAAAAUCCUGCUGGGAGGCCAAUCCAGCUGUGAGAAUGUUCCAUGGUGGGCAAAACAAAAGCAAGCCUUGUUGUUAGACUGGACAAAACUUCAAUUCUUUGGGAACAAAGCAUGUAUGGCCCCCUCUGGCAUCUGUAAGCAACACUCAGAACCACUAGUAUCGCAAAGCUGAAAGGGGCCUUAAGGAAUUUUCUUCCUCUUCUGCAGUAUUUGUUCAAACUUGUCUAACAUAUAUCUGACCUUGCUAAUUAUAAAAAUGUUGCCCUCUCUACUGUACUUUAAUUUGGUGAAGUUCUACUGUGGCUCUGGAGAUCAACCAUUCCUCAAAGUUUUGACAGUGCCGUCAAAUAGCAGGUGCUCGAUGAAUAUUGUUAAUUAAGUCUUUUAUCUUUAAGGUAGAGGAACUUAAAAGACCCAGAAAAACUGAUGUGACUUGCAGCAGCUCACAUGGUACUCAGCAGGGAAACCUAGCUGAAACUUCGGAAUGCCCCAUAAAAAUCUUGUGUUGUUUAUUAAAACUACCUCGGAUUUGGAUCCCUCCUUGCUACUCUGGCUUGCCCUUGAGGACACAGACCAUGUAUUGAACUUCCAAAAUAUUACUAUUGUUUUUUUUCCACUGUACAGCAUGGGAACCAAGUUACACAUACAUGUGUACAUACUUUUUCCUCCCAUUGUUGGGUUGCGAUGUAAGUAUCUAGACAUAGUUCUCAAUGCAAAAUAUUAUUUUAGUUUCUUUCUGUGCCCAAUCCCAAUCCCAGUGUUCAAGCAUAGUCCCGAAAGAGGUCUUUAGGAAAUAUACGGACUACUUUAUUCUAAAGACUUGGUUGUUAAAAAAUAUUUCAGGGGGAAAAAAAAAUGCUUUAUGGUCAAUCCCAACUGCCGUACAGCAAAUUGGCCACCUACCAUUUCUCACUUUCCUAUAAAACUCAAGGCUAUGUAGAAGCUUCUAUCUACUGUUUGUCGCUUCAUCCAAAAGAACAUCCCUACUUUUAAUUGCCCAUUUAGAUAGCUUGCAGCUCUUGGAAAUUCAGUAAGAUUAACCUUUGCGGUAAAGAUACUGUGCGGGAACAUAUAUCACUCCCCACCCUCCCCAUGUGGCAAAACACCACCCUGAGAAGGAGGAAAGUACAGAGGUAAGGCCGUGUGAACCUAAGGAACAAAGUCAACCACGCAGAUCUGCUAGAUUGGAGAACCAAGAGGAAUAUUGUCCAUUUCCUUUAUUGUGAACAGCGCCUUUCAGCAGGUCAUCAUUCUCAAAUGUUAAUUCUUACUCGGUGCCCUCAUGCCUUGCCCUCAUCUCCUGUAGAAGCAAAUCUCUCUGACAGUGGCCAGUAGUUCAGUUACCAGUAAGCAAGGGGAAUAAAACCAACAAACAUAACUCCCCAGCCCUUCGCCAGGGGAACAACGAAUAACUUCAAAAGAUAUGUAAUUAACAGGCUGCCCAGCAAGUGUUGUGAGCUCCCCAUGCAGGGAUUGAGGUCCAAAUGUGCAUCGGUGUGUCCCCAACAGAUGAAAGAGAGACCCAAGAUGAAACCACGAAGGCUCCCUGAAAUUCAGCAAGAGACUUAGUGUGCAGGAAUCACAUUAAUCUCUUCAGGUCAAACACUGACACUUCUCUGCCCUUGGAAGUCGUCUUGGGUCCAGCCAUCAACUGGAGGCACUUGUUUCAAAAGGAACGUCUUCAUGCAGAAGGUGGGGAGACAGAAUAGAAAGAAAAGACAAACAUUCCUAUGGUCAGCAUUCCAUGUUUUGUUUUGCAGGACAUAAAAUUGGCUUCUUGCUUCUGAGAAUUGUUUUUUUAGCCAUAAAGCUUUCAAAAAUCUGGUGUACCUAAUUCAAAGCCUUUAAAAUUUAUGUUGUAAAAUUUAUUAUGGUGCCCUUAUAAAUCAGCACUUGGUAGUAACAAAUUAUCAGAACGAGCUGUAUUUUAGAAAGACAAAUCAGAAUUUAAUAGUGAAGAUAGAGGUGUUUUCAAAUCAGACAGCCAAAGAACUAACUAAUGGGAACAUUUGUAAACCUGACAGUGAUUUACAGUGGGGCUCUUAGUUAAAGUGUGUAAAUCCCACAGAAGUUUUUGCAUCUAACAGCUGGGACUGUUGGUCCAUUGUUUAUAAAUCAAGAAGUUAAUGUAGAGUCAGGGAUCUGUAAAUACAGGCACUAAAUUAGACAUCUGUAGCAUCUGAUUUAUAAAUAAGUAACCUCAAGGGUUACAUACAUGGAGUUCCUGUCAUGGCUCAGUGGAUUAAGAACCCAACGAGUAUCCAUGAGAGUGCAGAAUCGAUUCCUGGCCUUGCUCAGUGGGUUAAGGAUCCGGUGUUGCUGCAAGCUGAGGCGUAUUUUGCAGAUGCAGCUUAGAUCUGGCAUUGCUGUGGUUAUGAUGUAGGCUUGCAGCUGCAGCUCUAAUUCGACCCCUAGCCCAGGAACUUCCAUAUACCCCAGGUGUG